UUGACCUCGGAUCAGGUAGGAAUACCCGCUGAACUUAAGCAUAUCAAUAAGCGGAGGAAAAGAAACCAACAGGGAUUACCCUAGUAACGGCGAGUGAAGCGGUAACAGCUCAAAUUUAAAAUCUGGCUCUCGGGCCCGAGUUGUAAUUUGUAGAGGAUGUUUCGGGCAAGGUCUAGGUUUAAAUUUCUUGGAACAGAAUGUCAUAGAGGGUGAGAGUCCCGUCUUGAACCGCUGACUGCGUCCAUGUGAAACUCCUUCGACGAGUCGAGUUGUUUGGGAAUGCAGCUCAAAAUGGGUGGUAAAUUUCAUCUAAAGCUAAAUAUUGGCCAGAGACCGAUAGCGCACAAGUAGAGUGAUCGAAAGAUGAAAAGCACUUUGAAAAGAGAGUUAAACAGUAUGUGAAAUUGUUGAAAGGGAAGCGCUUGUGACCAGACUUGAGUCUGACGGUUCCCCCGGUCUUUUGACCCGGUUACUCCGUCUUAACCAGGCCAGCAUCGGUUUGGGUGGUUGGUUAAAGGUCUUGGGAAUGUAUCUACCUCCGGGUCGACUUAUAGCCCAGGACGUAUAUGCGGCCUACCUGG
Molecule: ribosomal RNA, 581 nt
Filed under: uncultured fungus
Lineage: Eukaryota; Fungi
Description: eukaryotic LSU rRNA
Rfam family: Eukaryotic large subunit ribosomal RNA
Source: RNAcentral